This is a long non-coding RNA of Papaver somniferum (opium poppy), 1354 nucleotides long. RefSeq lists it as uncharacterized. NCBI's taxonomy places the organism in Eukaryota, Viridiplantae, Streptophyta, Magnoliopsida, Ranunculales, Papaveraceae. The record is from RefSeq and is a predicted model, not a curated record. The transcript has 5 exons.
UCCGCCGUUUCUCUCUCCAUUUCUAUUCUUUAAGCUCUGCAACAAUGGCGAUUGAGUGAAGGAGAGAUUUCUAUUAAAAGCUUAAACAAGUAACUGGUUAUGGAAAACCCCAGUUUUCUUACAAGAGAACGUCACGAUGUUUGCAAACAUAAUGAGGAAACAUGUGAAGAAUCCAUUUAGAAAUUUUAGGUUGAAAUUUGUGCUACUACUAAUAAGGUUAUUUUUUUGAUAAUUUGGGUGUGAACUGUGGUGAUUUAGAGGUCCAGUUUCUGGUACUGAAGAAAUGGGUAUUGAACUCUAUAGAGAAUUUGUGAAAAGUACUUUGGGGUGAAAAUUGUUUUGAUUAACUUGGCAAGGUACAUACUCAAGCUGUUGGCGUUGAUACAGUCGGGAAAGUGAUGCUGCUGCCGUUGUAUUUGAUAGUGAUGCUGCUGUUGUUGUAUUUUGAUACAGUCGGGAAACUGAUGCUGCUGUCGUUGUAUUUAAUUACUGCAAUCAUGGCGAAGAUUUUAUCCCAAAAGGAAGAAGAUAUACAUAUGCUUUUAGCUGCAGAUGCACAUCUCGGUACCAAAAAUGUGAAUUUUCAGAUGGAGAGAUACUUUUUUAAGAAAAGAGCCGACGGAUGGAGUGCGCACAUUUAACAACUUCCUACGCGAAGGGCUAAUCGAAUAUCUUGACGUUAAUGAACAGAACAAUGCAUUGAUUGCUUUAUAUGAAGGGGAACCAAAAGAAGAUAUCACUCGUAUAGAAAUUGAAGCUUUCAUGAUCUUGGAUGUUUGUGCUGGGCUAAUUCCAUUUCCUCUCCACUAUCUACACUUUUUGCCGGUCGAUUUUAGCUUACAUGUUCAAUUUCUCAACAAAAUGUUCUAAUUAAAUUCGAUGGUUUUGCAGAUGUUGAUGGUGGUAGAAGUAGACCAAGCUGUUGUUGGUGCUGCUGUAGUGGUUUCGAUGAUGUUGAUAGAGGUUCUUAUGUUUAUUUUGAAGAUGUUGAUGGAGGUGGAUGGUUUUGCUGCGAUGAUUUUGCAGAUGCUAUGGGUGGUGGAAAUGGACCAAAUGGCUGUUGCUGCUGCACUGUCCAUGGCGUUCAGAACACAAAAGGUCCGCCAUUUCAGAUCCAGGGUUUAGGUGCAGAUGGUGCCAUAUGCGUCUAACUGUGGUUAGUUACUUGAGUUAUAAGGGAAGGGUAUAUAUGUAAGAAUUUGGGACUGUUUUUUUCAAAACUGUUAGAUCUGAUGGAAGAUGACUAUUUUGUAAUUGAAAUUGAAAAGUAUGACUAUUUUGUAACCCAAUUACAAAAAGUAUGACCAUUUGAUUGCAAAUUGAUGUAAUCUUAACAUCACUUUCAAGAAAACAA